CUGUCGGCCACCCAAGAGCGCAGACGCGUCAGCAAGACUGACACCCUUGACACAGACAUUAACUGGUGAUAUGCUUCACUACCUUCUGUCGUCUCUCGUAUCAGUGGUUAUCGAUGAAACAACGGCAAAGCCCCAAUAGCGGCUUCUUUGGAACUGGGCCAGCUGAUCUGAAAGACUUUGUGGAUACAUGUUCUCUACCUGGUGGAACAGUGGACUGUGGGUUAUGGGGACACCCAGGGAAGUGAAGCACCUGCCCAGCACCAUGUCAUCAGGAGCAUCAUCACUGUAGCACCUACAACCACUGCCUCACCCUCCUCCUCCUGUGGUGUAGCUGUAGCCGUUCCGAACCAAGCUGUAGCCGUAUCUCUCCCCUAGGCUCACUGCUUCCUUUGG
Xiphias gladius (swordfish) is the source of this 393-nucleotide long non-coding RNA. RefSeq lists it as uncharacterized. Lineage: Eukaryota; Metazoa; Chordata; Actinopteri; Istiophoriformes; Xiphiidae. The transcript is spliced from 3 exons. The record is from RefSeq and is a predicted model, not a curated record.